Long non-coding RNA from Belonocnema kinseyi, 664 nucleotides. RefSeq lists it as uncharacterized. The record is from RefSeq and is a predicted model, not a curated record. NCBI's taxonomy places the organism in Eukaryota, Metazoa, Arthropoda, Insecta, Hymenoptera, Cynipidae. The transcript is spliced from 4 exons.
UCUAUUUACGCAUUUUGUGUGAACGUUUUAUGCAAAACAGCCGCACGAUUCAACAAUGCUAAAAAUUUUGUGUCUUUUUUUUUAUUUUCGCUGAUAUUUCAGAUGCAAGUCAGCGCAACUCGACUUUCUAUGUGAUUAAAGUUUCUUGUGACGAAAAAAAUCCGUAUGUAAAAGUAAAAGAAAAUGAAGGAAAAACUGACAUAAUCUGGAAUACUGAAGUGGAUCAGACCUCAUCACCUUUAAGGGCCACCCUGUCUAUUCAUUUCCUCGAAUCUGAGCAAACUUAUUCCACGCAAUUAGAAAACUUAUGUAAAGUUUAUAAAGAGGGAAGCUUUGAGGAAAAUGCUCAGAAAUUUAUACUGAAAGCGCUUGCAAAUAUUAAAAAGUGUCCCAUUCAAAAGGGGACAACAUCUUCUAUUCCCAAAUCAUUUUCCCUGUUGUAUUCUACUGACCAUCCAGAUUGCGGAAUUAUUCAGAAUCAGUUCAAACUAUUUAAGCAAGAGGACUCAAAUUAUUCACAACCCCUCAUUACUGGAAUUUCAAAAGGGACUGUUACAGGUUGCUGAAUAAAUCAAAUUCUAAUAUUUUUCAGAAUUAUGAAUAUAGAAAUAUUCUUUGUACUAAUGGAUUAUAAAAAUGUAAAAAUGUUUGAAUAAUAAAGACA